This 1431-nucleotide long non-coding RNA is filed under the name Homo sapiens (human). Its description in RNAcentral is "HSALNT0408180". The record is from RNAcentral. Lineage: Eukaryota; Metazoa; Chordata; Mammalia; Primates; Hominidae.
ACAGGCUUGAGCCACCACACCUGGCCAAUUAUUUUAUUAAGCCAGAUGAAUCUAGCUCUGGACAGUUAUAAGCAAAGAAAAACUAACGGAAAAAUACAGAGGCCUGAAGAAUCACAGAGGGAAACUCAUUUGUUCCUCUGGCAGCUCUCCCCAAGGACACCUGUGAGACAAAGUCAGAAGUGGCUUCCCUGGUGACCCAGAGAGACCACAGGGCUCUUGCCGCUGCUUCCUCUACUCCCGUAUUUUGCCGAGCUCUCUAAAUUGUCUCAGCUCUAGCCUGAAUCUAUGGUUUCAUGGAGAGCUCCCUAAAAUCUGUUGACAGAGGAAGAGAAGACUUGAACCUGGUUUACAGAUGGUACUGCACAAUAUGCAGGAACCACAUGAAAGCAGGCAGUUGAAGCACUGCAGCCUCUCUCUGGGACAUCUCCUAAGAAAAAUGAGGGAGCAUCCUCCCAUCCUCCAGGUGGGCAGAGCUACUGGUGGUGCAUCUGUUUUUUCAUAUGAUUGGAAGGAAAAAUGGUCAGAUGUGCAAAUAUACACUGAUUGCCGGGCUGUGGCCCAUGGUUUGGCUGGAUGGCAAAAAUUUUAGAAGAAACGAUUGAAAAAUCGGUGACAUAUAAAUCUGGGCAAAAGAUAUGUGGAUAGAUAUUUUUUCUCUGAAUGGGCAAAAAACAUGAUAAUAUUUGUGUUUCAUGUGAAUGCUUAUCAAAAGCUGACCUUAGAUGAAAAGGAUUUUAAUAAGCAAGUGGACAGGAUAACCCAUUCUGUGGAUACCAGUUAAUGUCUUUUGUCAUCCAACUCUGUCAUCACACAAUGAGCUCAAUGAACAAAGUGGCCAUGGUAGCAGGGAUGGAAAUUAUUCAUUGGUUCAGCAACAUGGACUUUCACUCACCAAGGCUUUUAUGGUUACAGCAACUGCUGAGUGCCCAAUAUGAAAUCAGCUAAGACUAAUAUAGAGUUUCCUUUAGCACACCAUUCUACGGAGUGAUCAGCAAGUUGAUUACACUAGUCAGCUUCCGUUAUGGAAGAGACAGCAUUUUGUUCUUACUGGAAUAGAUACUUACUCUAGAUAUUGAUUUGUGUUUUUUCAGGCAAUGUUUCUGCAAAAACUGCCAUUUGUGUACUUAUAAAAUGCCUUCUCUACCAUUAUGGUAUUCCACACAACAUGGCUUCUGAUCAAAGAAUUCAUAAUACAACAAAAUAAGUGCAACAAUAAGCCCAUGCUCAUGUAACUCAGUGGUCUAAAUUCUAUUGGUUCUGUUUGUCCAAAGAACCCUGAGUAAUACAUCUAGUAAAUGAUUUUUUCAUCACCUGUUAGUAAAGACCACAAGAAGUAGUUUACAAUAUACCUAAACUAUCUGAUAUGGGCUGGAUUGUGUUUUCCCAAAAUUUAUAUGUUGAAGCCCUGAUCCCCCAGUACCUCAGAGUGUG